RNAcentral lists this long non-coding RNA (2546 nucleotides) under Homo sapiens (human). RNAcentral's name for it is "non-protein coding lnc-PHKB-7:1". The record is from RNAcentral. Lineage: Eukaryota; Metazoa; Chordata; Mammalia; Primates; Hominidae.
CCUUUUUCUUAAUUUCAGUUCCUUUCCUUUUCUGGUAGAGACAAAGGAGAUACAUUUUAUCCGCGGACCCAAAACUCUGGUGCUGGUCACGGACUCAGAAAGACAGUUUCCUUUGGUGUUUAAUGCCUGCCUGAUUAUUCACCCACGUUUCAGAGGUGUCUGACCAUGCGAGGACACCUGCCUUGGUCCUUCACCCUUAGCAGCAAGUAGCACUUUUCUGGGGGGCAAGCACCCCAUGACCCCUUCUCUCCGUGUCUCUACCCCUUCUCCACUUUUCUGGGGGCAAGCACCCCCCGACCCCUUCUCUCCAUGUCUCUACUCUCUCUUUUCUCUGGGCUUGCCUUCUUCACUAUGGGCAACCUUCCACCCUCCAUUCCUCCUUCUUCUCCCUUAGCUUGUGUUCUCAAGAACUUAAAACCUCUUCAACUCUUGUGUGACCUAAAAUCUAAGCAUCUUAUUUUUUUCUGUCUAUUUUCUUCCUCCCACCUGAUGCAUAUACUUUCUGCUCCCCGGCUCCUUCAGCUAUACUCACUCUUUGUUAAGUCUCCCACAAUUACCAUUGUUCCGGACUUCAAUCCAGCCUCCCACAUUAUUCCUGAUACCACACCUGACCCCCACGACUGUAUCUUUCUGAUCCACCUGACAUUCACUCCAUUUCCCCAUAUUUCCUUCUUUCCUGUUCCUCACCCUGAACACACUUGGUUUAUUGAUGGCAGUUCCACUAGGCCUAAUCGCCACUCACCAGCAAAGGCAGGCUAUGCUAUAGUAUCUUCCACACCUAUCAUUGAGGCUACCACUCUGCCCCCUCCACUACCUCUCAGCAAGCUGAACUAUUGCCUUAACUCAGGCCCUCACUCUUGCAAAGGGACUACACAUCAAUAUUUAUACUGACUCUAAAUAUGUCUUCCAUGUCCUGCACCACCAUGCUCUUAUAUGGGCUGAAAGAGGUUUCCUGUCUAUGCAAGGGUCCUCCAUCAUUAAUGCCUCUUUAAUAAAAAUGCUUCUCAAAACUGCUUUACUUCCAAAGGAAGCUGGAGUCAUUUGUUGCAAAGGCCAUCAAAAGGCAUCAGAUUCCAUAAUAGGAACCCUUGUGCACUGCUGCUGGGAAUGUAAAAUGGCACAGCUGCUAUGGAAAACAGUAUGAAACUUCCUCAAGAAAAUUAAAAAUAGAAUUACCAUAUGAUUCCAUCUGUCAUCAGAAAUGAAAAAACCUGAAAAGACAUCUUAAGAGGCUAAUCUUAUGUUCUACAAGAGUGAUUUAUCUGCAGGAAUAAUUGGGAAAGUUGCAAAUCUUGUGAACCCCAGCAUAAUGACUGGUAAUCCUUUACAUGUUAGCAGAAUUCAGGCUCAUGUCAUCCUCCCAUUAGCCUUACAAAAGUGGUAGAGUUUCGGGGAAGGGAUAUUACCAUUUGAAGUAUAAACUAAAUGUCUCCCAGAGUUAACUUGGACUAGGCCCAGGAAUAAUUAGGGCAGUUUGGAGGUUAAAGGCAAGAUGGAAGUGAGUUAGAUCAGAUCUCAUUCAUUGUCAUAAUUUUCUCACUGUUAUAAUUUUUCCAAAGGUGGUUUCAGUUAUAAGCUCACAUUAACGUGUUCUAGAAAAGAUAUAACUACAUCUGAAACCUGCAAUUUCAUGGAUCUCAUUGCUUCUUGAAGGAAAUAAAGAUAUUUUACUCCAAAAUCUAUUUAUUUGACAUAUUUUGAAAUGGCUGCCACAGAGCCAACAGACAGAAGUGGCUUGCAAAGCUGUCUUUUGUGGGGGAAAUUUGCAUCUGUAGAGAAUCUCCAUGGAUGCAGCCAGGCCUUCCGUUUCUAGGCCUUUCCCCAAGAGGCUUACUCUACAUAAUGAGACCCCCUUUGGUAGCCAGGCCCCUUCCUCUCCCCUUCUCAUAACCUGCCUUGGCACUAAACUUGAUCUACCAACCUAACCUGUUUUGGGCCAUGCUCUGAGCAUGCAUUAUUUCUAUAACCUCGAGAUGCUAUGCAAGCUUUGGAACCUAACCAGGGAAUUACAUCAUCAUUCUCAAGGUUCCUGUGUAUACAUAUUACACACAUUUGUCUGCCUUUUGUGAGUUGAUUUUUCAGCAGAACUUCAGAGGGUCAAGGGGAAAGCUCUUCCUUGGCCCUCAGUUCUCAUGAGGCUAAGUAAGAAGAAGUCAAUUUAACUAAAACCGAGUAAGUAAUGCUACAGGUGGCUCACAGGCAUGGCAAAAAUCUGAAAUGUUGGAAGAAGGAGAAACAUGGGGCUAGUCUUUAGUCUCAUUUUUAGGCAGAAGUAUAGACUGAUGUUCCCAAUGACAUUUGGAGAAUGGUAUUUUCCAUGAUUCAUUCUUCUUUUCAAUCUUCACUAGCAGGAAGCAGUGGCGUGAGCUGGGGAGGGGAAGUAAAGGCGUCCUUAAUCGUGUCUCCACCUGCCUUCCAAGAUGCUGCCUUCGAUUUUGUUUUGAGUAAGGGAUGAUAAGCCAUCCUCUUAGAGAGCAUCAGCUCAUUCCUUUCAUAGCCAAGCUCAUCAGCAUUUCUGGUGAUUGUGUAUUGUGGUAUCUGCAAAC